This 401-nucleotide transfer-messenger RNA is filed under the name Muribaculaceae bacterium. It matches the Rfam family "transfer-messenger RNA". Rfam says of the family: Bacterial tmRNA, also known as 10Sa RNA or SsrA, is named for its dual tRNA and mRNA-like properties. Its role is to liberate the mRNA from a stalled ribosome. Lineage: Bacteria; Pseudomonadati; Bacteroidota; Bacteroidia; Bacteroidales; Muribaculaceae. The record is from RNAcentral.
GGGGCUGACCGGUUUUGACAGCGUGCAGAAGUGGUGGGUAAGCGUGCAGAGCUUUGAGGUCUAUGCUCUUUAAUAUCAGGCUUCGAACAGAUCUAAACGGCGAGAAUAACUACGCUCUUGCUGCUUGAUUGAAGUACAGUAGAUCAGCUUAAUCGCUGCAAAAGUUGCGGCGACAAGACAUCGCCCGGUUGUCCUUUUUCCGAGACUAACCGAUCAGGCGGUGCAGGAAUAUCGGGAAUAGGGAACGGCCCGCCUCGCGCCGUCCCCGAAAACUUAGAGGCUAAGGGAGUGUUUGGUAGUUUCAGGCCUGCCACCCCACGAAAAUCAACUUGAAACUAAGCACGUAGAAAGCUCAUUAGUUCCGCGUUUGGACGAGGGUUCGAAUCCCUCCAGCUCCACUU